Molecule: ribosomal RNA, 450 nt
Filed under: uncultured bacterium
Lineage: Bacteria
Description: bacterial SSU rRNA
Rfam family: Bacterial small subunit ribosomal RNA
Source: RNAcentral
AACGAACGCUGGCGGCAUGCCUAACACAUGCAAGUCGAACGAAGUCUUCGGACUUAGUGGCGCACGGGUGCGUAACGCGUGGGAAUCUGCCCUUGGGUGCGGAAUAACUUCUCGAAAGGGAUGCUAAUACCGCAUAAUGUCGUAAGACCAAAGAUUUAUCGCCCAAGGAUGAGCCCGCGUAAGAUUAGCUAGUUGGUGGGGUAAAAGCCUACCAAGGCGACGAUCUUUAGCAGGUCUGAGAGGAUGAUCAGCCACACUGGGACUGAGACACGGCCCAGACUCCUACGGGAGGCAGCAGUGGGGAAUAUUGGACAAUGGGCGAAAGCCUGAUCCAGCAAUGCCGCGUGAGUGAUGAAGGCCCUAGGGUUGUAAAGCUCUUUUACCAGGGAUGAUAAUGACAGUACCUGGAGAAUAAAGCUCCGGCUAACUCCGUGCCAGCAGCCGCGGUAA